AAGUUUGAUGGCGACCGGCGCACGGGUGAGUAACACGUAUCCAACCUGCCGAUGACUCGGGGAUAGCCUUUCGAAAGAAAGAUUAAUACCCGAUGGCAUAGUUCUUCCGCAUGGUGGAACUAUUAAAGAGUUUCGGUCAUCGAUGGGGAUGCGUUCCAUUAGGUUGUUGGCGGGGUAACGGCCCACCAAGCCUUCGAUGGAUAGGGGUUCUGAGAGGAAGGUCCCCCCACAUUGGAACUGAGACACGGUCCAAACUCCUACGGGAGGCAGCAUG
RNAcentral lists this ribosomal RNA (274 nucleotides) under uncultured bacterium. RNAcentral's name for it is "partial 16S ribosomal RNA". It matches the Rfam family "Bacterial small subunit ribosomal RNA", at positions 81 to 353 of the family's 1533-position model. The record is from RNAcentral.